RNAcentral lists this ribosomal RNA (253 nucleotides) under uncultured bacterium. Its description in RNAcentral is "partial 16S ribosomal RNA". It matches the Rfam family "Bacterial small subunit ribosomal RNA", at positions 524 to 776 of the family's 1533-position model. The record is from RNAcentral.
UACGUAGGGGGCUAGCGUUGUCCGGAAUCAUUGGGCGUAAAGCGCGUGUAGGCGGUCCGGUAAGUCCGCUGUGAAAGUCGAGGGCUCAACCCUCGAAUGCCGUUGGAUACUGUCGGGCUAGAGUGCGGAAGAGGCGAGUGGAAUUCCUGGUGUAGCGGUGAAAUGCGCAGAUAUCAGGAGGAACACCGAUGGCGAAGGCAGCUGGCUGGGACGGUACUGACGCUGAGGCGCGAAAGCGUGGGGAGCAAACAGG